GAGGUUAAGCGACUAAGCGUACACGGUGGAUGCCCUGGCAGUCAGAGGCGAUGAAGGACGUGCUAAUCUGCGAUAAGCGCCGGUAAGGUGAUAUGAACCGUUAUAACCGGCGAUUUCCGAAUGGGGAAACCCAGUGUGACUCGUCACACUAUCAUUAACUGAAUCCAUAGGUUAAUGAGGCGAACCGGGGGAACUGAAACAUCUAAGUACCCCGAGGAAAAGAAAUCAACCGAGAUUCCCCCAGUAGCGGCGAGCGAACGGGGAGGAGCCCAGAGCCUGAAUCAGCAUGUGUGUUAGUGGAAGCGUCUGGAAAGGCGCGCGAUACAGGGUGACAGCCCCGUACACAAAAGCGCAUGUGCUGUGAGCUCGAUGAGUAGGGCGGGACACGUGGUAUCCUGUCUGAAUAUGGGGGGACCAUCCUCCAAGGCUAAAUACUCCUGACUGACCGAUAGUGAACCAGUACCGUGAGGGAAAGGCGAAAAGAACCCCGGCGAGGGGAGUGAAAAAGAACCUGAAACCGUGUACGUACAAGCAGUGGGAGCACCCUUUGGGGUGUGACUGCGUACCUUUUGUAUAAUGGGUCAGCGACUUAUAUUCUGUAGCAAGGUUAACCGAAUAGGGGAGCCGGAGGGAAACCGAGUCUUAAUUGGGCGUUAAGUUGCAGGGUAUAGACCCGAAACCCGGUGAUCUAGCCAUGGGCAGGUUGAAGGUUGGGUAACACUAACUGGAGGACCGAACCGACUAAUGUUGAAAAAUUAGCGGAUGACCUGUGGCUGGGGGUGAAAGGCCAAUCAAACCGGGAGAUAGCUGGUUCUCCCCGAAAGCUAUUUAGGUAGCGCCUCGUGAAUUCAUCUCCGGGGGUAGAGCACUGUUUCGGCUAGGGGGCCAUCCCGGCUUACCAACCCGAUGCAAACUGCGAAUACCGGAGAAUGUUAUCACGGGAGACACACGGCGGGUGCUAACGUCCGUCGUGAAGAGGGAAACAACCCAGACCGCCAGCUAAGGUCCCAAAGUCAUGGUUAAGUGGGAAACGAUGUGGGAAGGCCCAGACAGCCAGGAUGUUGGCUUAGAAGCAGCCAUCAUUUAAAGAAAGCGUAAUAGCUCACUGGUCGAGUCGGCCUGCGCGGAAGAUGUAACGGGGCUAAACCAUGCACCGAAGCUGCGGCAGCGACGCUGAUGCGUUGUUGGGUAGGGGAGCGUUCUGUAAGCCUGUGAAGGUGGCCUGUGAGGGUUGCUGGAGGUAUCAGAAGUGCGAAUGCUGACAUAAGUAACGAUAAAGCGGGUGAAAAGCCCGCUCGCCGGAAGACCAAGGGUUCCUGUCCAACGUUAAUCGGGGCAGGGUGAGUCGACCCCUAAGGCGAGGCCGAAAGGCGUAGUCGAUGGGAAACGGGUUAAUAUUCCCGUACUUGGUGUUACUGCGAAGGGGGGACGGAGAAGGCUAUGUUGGCCGGGCGACGGUUGUCCCGGUUUAAGCGUGUAGGUGUGUGUUCCAGGUAAAUCCGGUUCACUUUAACACUGAGGCGUGAUGACGAGGCACUACGGUGCUGAAGCAACAAAUGCCCUGCUUCCAGGAAAAGCCUCUAAGCAUCAGGUAACAUCAAAUCGUACCCCAAACCGACACAGGUGGUCAGGUAGAGAAUACCAAGGCGCUUGAGAGAACUCGGGUGAAGGAACUAGGCAAAAUGGUGCCGUAACU
Molecule: ribosomal RNA, 1696 nt
Filed under: Salmonella enterica
Lineage: Bacteria; Pseudomonadati; Pseudomonadota; Gammaproteobacteria; Enterobacterales; Enterobacteriaceae
Also listed under: 1 other name
Description: partial 23S ribosomal RNA
Rfam family: Bacterial large subunit ribosomal RNA
Source: RNAcentral